UGCCUAAUACAUGCAAGUCGAGCGAACAGAUAAGGAGCUUGCUCCUUUGACGUUAGCGGCGGACGGGUGAGUAACACGUGGGUAACCUACCUAUAAGACUGGGAUAACUUCGGGAAACCGGAGCUAAUACCGGAUAACAUUUGGAACCGCAUGGUUCUAAAGUGAAAGAUGGUUUUGCUAUCACUUAUAGAUGGACCCGCGCCGUAUUAGCUAGUUGGUAAGGUAACGGCUUACCAAGGCGACGAUACGUAGCCGACCUGAGAGGGUGAUCGGCCACACUGGAACUGAGACACGGUCCAGACUCCUACGGGAGGCAGCAGUAGGGAAUCUUCCGCAAUGGGCGAAAGCCUGACGGAGCAACGCCGCGUGAGUGAUGAAGGGUUUCGGCUCGUAAAACUCUGUUAUUAGGGAAGAACAAACGUGUAAGUAACUGUGCACGUCUUGACGGUACCUAAUCAGAAAGCCACGGCUAACUACGUGCCAGCAGCCGCGGUAAUACGUAGGUGGCAAGCGUUAUCCGGAAUUAUUGGGCGUAAAGCGCGCGUAGGCGGUUUCUUAAGUCUGAUGUGAAAGCCCACGGCUCAACCGUGGAGGGUCAUUGGAAACUGGGAAACUUGAGUGCAGAAGAGGAAAGUGGAAUUCCAUGUGUAGCGGUGAAAUGCGCAGAGAUAUGGAGGAACACCAGUGGCGAAGGCGACUUUCUGGUCUGUAACUGACGCUGAUGUGCGAAAGCGUGGGGAUCAAACAGGAUUAGAUACCCUGGUAGUCCACGCCGUAAACGAUGAGUGCUAAGUGUUAGGGGGUUUCCGCCCCCUUAGUGCUGCAGCUAACGCAUUAAGCACUCCGCCUGGGGGAGUACGACCGCCAGGUUGAAAACUCAAAGGAAUUGACGGGGACCCGCCACAAGCGGUGGAGCAUGUGGUUUAAUUUCGAAGCAACGCGAAAAAACCUUUACCAAAUCUUGACAUCCUUUUGAAAAACUCUAG
This 986-nucleotide ribosomal RNA is filed under the name Staphylococcus saprophyticus. RNAcentral describes it as "bacterial SSU rRNA". It matches the Rfam family "Bacterial small subunit ribosomal RNA", at positions 45 to 1005 of the family's 1533-position model. The record is from RNAcentral. Lineage: Bacteria; Bacillati; Bacillota; Bacilli; Caryophanales; Staphylococcaceae.